AGGUGACCUUUGAGCUGGUUUUUUAAAUGGACUGACAUUCUGAAUGGCAUUAGCAAGGCCCAGAAGUAAUGAAUGGUUGAUUACUUGACUGCAAUCAAAAGUGGCUGAAGUGGAGGAGUGAGCAGAGGCCACAAAUGUGAGCCAGAUCAAGGAAUGCCCAACCAAGCAGCUUGGGGGGGGAGAGGCAUUGGGGACAGGGACAGAAAAGUAAUGAUGGUUCCUCUCCCCUCCAGAUAGAACAUAGGAGAGAUGGUGAACUUCCCUCCUUGGCAGUAUCUCCCCCUCCUGGGUGGUAUUACAGGCGUUCACAGCAUCUCCAACUUGGAAAUAGGAUCAGGAUGCUGCUCCAACAUUCUUUCAUGUGAAGGUCAGCCCACCCCCCAGUCGGGAACUGGUGGGAGCUACAGCCUGAAAGGACAGUGGGAGGAGGAAGGAAGACACACUAUAUUCAUCUACUCCAACAAGCAUCACGGGCGAAGCGAAAGCAAUGGAGAUGACUGGUCUGUGGGGACGGAGGGGUGGCACUCUCACAGGGAUGGCCGUGGCAGACACUGCUGAAGCCCAGAGCCACUACAACACUGCGACUUCAUGGCACACACAGAUUUAUGAACGAACACUAGCAAUAAGAAUUUAGAAUUCUUAAAUGCCUAGUUCAACAGGGCAGAGAUCUAAGCUGCAACACAAUCUGCAUCUGGGCAGGAGAAGAGGGAGAGACGAUGAAGAGUCUCCUCAGAGAGCUGGACUCGGACCGCCGUCUUCUCCGGCAACCCCGACUGCUGUUCGUGGAAAAGACAAUUAUCUGAGGACACAGCCAACAGCUAAGCUGCAAAAUGUAACGAAGAAAUUACUACUGGAUAGUGCCAUAAAGGUUCAAAUAGAAGUGUGUCCUUUGAUCUGAAAGCCACAUAAAUUGGGCUGGAGAAAUAACAGACUUGGUCCUACUUCUACGGUUUGGCUACCCCGUCUGAAAAAUAGGACUCCAGUUUUUACUAAUGCAGUGGUUCCCAAGAAGAAAUAAAGCUGACAUGAGGGGUAUACAGAAGAACAUCAUUAUUUUUAGAUACACAGUAUUUAGGCAUGAAAUGUGUGAUGCUUCAGCAAGUGGAUCAGAAACAGGUCUGUAUAAAAUAUAUACGUGCACGUACAUGCCUCACUUAUAUAAAGAUAACCCAAUAUGGCAAAAUGUUAAUUACUGAACCUAGGAGAUACACACAAGUUCAUUUUACUCUUCUUUCAACUAUUCUGUUUGAAACCGCAAUAACAAGUUGAGAAGACUACGCCAUGACUUUAGUCCAUGCUGUGCCACACCUCUGCAACUCGUAAGUACAGACACCAAGCCUCCCAAUCCUGACCGAAAGGGACACUCCAUACACAGCUCUUCACCAGGGCCAGGCCAGCUGGCACUGAUCUUGGGCUGUGCCUGCUUGGUGAGAUGGUGUACACUUAAAUGCAAUGUGACUAAGGGAUAGAUGGGUCUGGGCUCUGAAGCAGGGCAGACCUAGGCUUAAUUCUAACUAUCAAUUCUUAGCUAAGUGAUCCUGGGAUUCUCCCAUUCCUCACCUACGAAAAUGUAAAAACCUACUUUUCAGAGAUAUUAGAAUAGGAAAAUCAAAUCGUACAUGUUUCCUAAAAUUUACAUUUUCCUCUUAAAAGCAUUUCCCUAAUAAAUUCA
Suricata suricatta (meerkat) is the source of this 1672-nucleotide long non-coding RNA. RefSeq lists it as uncharacterized. The transcript is spliced from 3 exons. Lineage: Eukaryota; Metazoa; Chordata; Mammalia; Carnivora; Herpestidae. The record is from RefSeq and is a predicted model, not a curated record.